AAAGGGAUAAGCUAUAAAAGCUAAAGAGCUCAUACCUCUUCGAAAGUCUAACCUUCCCUUUA
RNAcentral lists this transfer RNA (62 nucleotides) under Demodex brevis. RNAcentral's name for it is "tRNA-Met". The record is from RNAcentral. Lineage: Eukaryota; Metazoa; Arthropoda; Arachnida; Trombidiformes; Demodicidae.